This 253-nucleotide ribosomal RNA is filed under the name uncultured bacterium. RNAcentral's name for it is "partial 16S ribosomal RNA". It matches the Rfam family "Bacterial small subunit ribosomal RNA", at positions 524 to 776 of the family's 1533-position model. The record is from RNAcentral.
UACGUAGGCAGCAAGCGUUGUUCGGAAUUACUGGGCGUAAAGGGUGGGUAGGCGGUGCCUCAAGUUUGGUGUGAAAUCUCCCGGCUCAACUGGGAGGGUGCGCCGAAAACUGAGGUGCUCGAGUGUGGGAGAGGUAGGCGGAAUUCCUGGUGUAGCGGUGAAAUGCGUAGAUAUCAAGAGGAACACCGGCGGUGUAGACGGCUUACUGGACCAUUACUGACGCUGAACCACGAAAGUGUGGGUAGCAAACAGG